This 468-nucleotide ribosomal RNA is filed under the name uncultured bacterium. RNAcentral's name for it is "partial 16S ribosomal RNA". It matches the Rfam family "Bacterial small subunit ribosomal RNA", at positions 28 to 507 of the family's 1533-position model. The record is from RNAcentral.
GACGAACGCUGGCGGCGUGCUUAACACAUGCAAGUCGAACGGAAAGGCCCUGCUUUUGUGGGGUGCUCGAGUGGCGAACGGGUGAGUAACACGUGAGUAACCUGCCCUUGACUUUGGGAUAACUUCAGGAAACUGGGGCUAAUACCGGAUAGGAGCUCCUGCUGCAUGGUGGGGGUUGGAAAGUUUCGGCGGUUGGGGAUGGACUCGCGGCUUAUCAGCUUGUUGGUGGGGUAGUGGCUUACCAAGGCUUUGACGGGUAGCCGGCCUGAGAGGGUGACCGGCCACAUUGGGACUGAGAUACGGCCCAGACUCCUACGGGAGGCAGCAGUGGGGAAUAUUGCACAAUGGGCGGAAGCCUGAUGCAGCAACGCCGCGUGCGGGAUGAAGGCCUUCGGGUUGUAAACCACUUUCGCCUGUGACGAAGCGUGAGUGACGGUAAUGGGUAAAGAAGCACCGGCUAACUACGUG